RNAcentral lists this ribosomal RNA (422 nucleotides) under uncultured bacterium. Its description in RNAcentral is "bacterial SSU rRNA". It matches the Rfam family "Bacterial small subunit ribosomal RNA", at positions 33 to 499 of the family's 1533-position model. The record is from RNAcentral.
UACGCUGGCGGCACGCCUAACACAUGCAAGUCGAACGAAGUAGCAAUACUUAGUGGCAGACGGGUGAGUAACAUGUGGGUAUCUACCCUUUGGCCUGGAAUAACACGAGGAAACUUGUGCUAAUACCGGAUAAGUCUUUACGGAGAAAGCUUUAUGCACCAAUGGAUGAGCCCGCACUAGAUUAGUUUGUUGGUGGGGUAAUGGCCUACCAAGACUGUGAUCUAUAGCUGAUUUGAGAGGAUGAUCAGCCACAUUGGGACUGAGACACGGCCCAAACUCCUACGGGAGGCAGCAGUGGGGAAUCUUGCACAAUGGAGGAAACUCUGAUGCAGCGAUGCCGCGUGAGUGAAGAAGGCCCUUGGGUUGUAAAGCUCUUUCGUCGGGGAAGAAAAUGACUGUACCCGAAUAAGAAGGUCCGGCUA